RNAcentral lists this ribosomal RNA (250 nucleotides) under uncultured prokaryote. RNAcentral's name for it is "partial 16S rRNA". It matches the Rfam family "Bacterial small subunit ribosomal RNA", at positions 525 to 823 of the family's 1533-position model. The record is from RNAcentral.
ACGUAGGGGGCAAGCGUUAUCCGGAAUUAUUGGGCGUAAAGAGUGCGUAGGUGGUUUUUUAAGCGUGAGGUGAAAGGCAAUAGCUUAACUAUUGUAAGCCUUGCGAACUGGAAGACUUGAGUGCAGGAGAGGAAAGUGGAAUUCCUAGUGGGGCGGUGUCAGGCCUGUAGCUGACGCGGAGCCCCAGAGGCGUGGGCGACAAACAGGACUAUAACCCAUAGUCCUGCGGCAGAGUGUCCCCCACAUACAU